This 500-nucleotide ribosomal RNA is filed under the name uncultured bacterium. RNAcentral's name for it is "partial 16S ribosomal RNA". It matches the Rfam family "Bacterial small subunit ribosomal RNA", at positions 30 to 523 of the family's 1533-position model. The record is from RNAcentral.
AUUGAACGCUGGCGGCAUGCCUUACACAUGCAAGUCGAACGGCAGCACGGGAGCAAUCCUGGUGGCGAGUGGCGAACGGGUGAGUAAAGUAUCGGAACGUGCCCAGUCGUGGGGGAUAACGUAGCGAAAGUUACGCUAAUACCGCAUACGAUCUAUGGAUGAAAGCGGGGGAUCGCAAGACCUCGCGCGAUUGGAGCGGCCGAUAUCAGAUUAGGUAGUUGGUGGGGUAAAGGCUCACCAAGCCGACGAUCUGUAGCUGGUCUGAGAGGACAACCAGCCACACUGGGACUGAGACACGGCCCAGACUCCUACGGGAGGCAGCAGUGGGGAAUUUUGGACAAUGGGCGAAAACCUGAUCCAGCCAUGCCGCGUGCAGGAUGAAGGCCUUCGGGUUGUAAACUGCUUUUGUACGGAACGAAAAGGUUUGGCCUAAUAAGCUGAGCUCAUGACGGUACCGUAAGAAUAAGCACCGGCUAACUACGUGCCAGCAGCCGCAGUAA